UCAAGAAGUGUUUUCUGUGCUAGUCCAGAGAGUCUGUUGGAACACAGCGUCAUAGAGGGUGACAACCCCGUUCAUGACAUGUGUAUCUCUCGUACACUGUGAUACACUCUCGAAGAGUCGAGUUGUUUGGGAAUGCAGCUCAAAUUGGGUGGUAAAUUCCAUCUAAAGCUAAAUAUUGGCGAGAGACCGAUAGCAAACAAGUACCGUGAGGGAAAGAUGAAAAGCACUUUGGAAAGAGAGUUAACAGUACGUGAAAUUGUUGAAAGGGAAACGAUUGAAGUCAGACGUGCGUGAUGCGGUUCAGCUCUGGUUCGCCAGGGUGUAUUUUUGUAUCUUUGCAGGCCAACAUCGGUUUUGUUAGUCGGAUAAAGAUUAGCUGAAUGUGGCAUCUUCGGGUGUGUUAUAGCUUCUAAUUGAAUACGAUUGAUGAGACCGAGGAACGCAGCGCGCCGCAAGGCAAAGGUUCCGACCUUUUCGCGCUUAGGAUGUUGGUGAAAUGGCUUUAAACGACCCGUCUUGAAACACGGACCAAGGAGUCUAACAUGCUUGCGAGUGUUUGGGUGGCAAACCCAUACGCGUAAUGAAAGUGAAUGGAGGUGGGAUCCUUUACCGGAGCACCAUCGACCGAUCCCGGAUUUUUAAUGAAAGGGUUUGAGUAAGAGCACGUAUGUUGGGACCCGAAAGAUGGUGAACUAUGCCUGAAUAGGGUGAAGCCAGAGGAAACUCUGGUGGAGGCUCGUAGCGGUUCUGACGUGCAAAUCGAUCGUCAAAUUUGGGUAU
RNAcentral lists this ribosomal RNA (780 nucleotides) under Cystobasidium minutum. Its description in RNAcentral is "partial large subunit ribosomal RNA". It matches the Rfam family "Eukaryotic large subunit ribosomal RNA", at positions 151 to 918 of the family's 3401-position model. Lineage: Eukaryota; Fungi; Basidiomycota; Cystobasidiomycetes; Cystobasidiales; Cystobasidiaceae. The record is from RNAcentral.